CCUACGGGAGGCAGCAGUGGGGAAUUUUGGACAAUGGGGGCAAGCCUGAUCCAGCCAUGCCGCGUGAGUGAAGAAGGCCUUCGGGUUGUAAAGCUCUUUCAGGUGGAAAGAAAUCGCAUCCCCUAAUACCGGUGGUGGAUGACGGUACCAUCAGAAGAAGCACCGGCUAACUACGUGCCAGCAGCCGCGGUAAUACGUAGGGUGCGAGCGUUAAUCGGAAUUACUGGGCGUAAAGCGUGCGCAGGCGGUUGUGUAAGACAGGUGUGAAAUCCCCGGGCUUAACCUGGGAACUGCGCUUGUGACUGCACAGCUAGAGUACGGCAGAGGGGGGUGGAAUUCCACGUGUAGCAGUGAAAUGCGUAGAGAUGUGGAGGAACACCGAUGGCGAAGGCAGCCCCCUGGGCCUGUACUGACGCUCAUGCACGAAAGCGUGGGGAGCAAACAGGAUUAGAUACCCUGGUAGUCCACGCCCUAAACGAUGUCAACUAGUUGUUCGGAAGGGAAACUUUCUGAGUAACGCAGCUAACGCGUGAA
This 534-nucleotide ribosomal RNA is filed under the name uncultured Denitromonas sp. RNAcentral describes it as "bacterial SSU rRNA". It matches the Rfam family "Bacterial small subunit ribosomal RNA", at positions 338 to 863 of the family's 1533-position model. The record is from RNAcentral. Lineage: Bacteria; Pseudomonadati; Pseudomonadota; Betaproteobacteria; Rhodocyclales; Zoogloeaceae.